This is a long non-coding RNA of Microtus oregoni (creeping vole), 151 nucleotides long. RefSeq lists it as uncharacterized. The transcript has 3 exons. The record is from RefSeq and is a predicted model, not a curated record. NCBI's taxonomy places the organism in Eukaryota, Metazoa, Chordata, Mammalia, Rodentia, Cricetidae.
UUGGAGUUGAACCAUAAAAGUCGGGUGGACCAUAAAGCAUAAGGGGACCAGGAAGCCCAGCCAAUGGAAACACUCCAAAGCUGAAAAUCCUCUGUGGAGCAAGCUCAGGCAUUUGAUUGGCCAAUAGAAGGUCUACUGGUGCCAAACAUCU